This 126-nucleotide ribosomal RNA is filed under the name Aliivibrio finisterrensis. Its description in RNAcentral is "partial 16S ribosomal RNA". It matches the Rfam family "Bacterial small subunit ribosomal RNA", at positions 1418 to 1533 of the family's 1533-position model. RNAcentral also lists the same sequence under 1 other name. The record is from RNAcentral. Lineage: Bacteria; Pseudomonadati; Pseudomonadota; Gammaproteobacteria; Vibrionales; Vibrionaceae.
CAAAAGAAGUGGGUAGUUUAACCUUCGGGAGGACGCUCACCACUUUGUGGUUCAUGACUGGGGUGAAGUCGUAACAAGGUAGCCCUAGGGGAACCUGGGGCUGGAUCACCUCCUUAAACGAUAGAU